RNAcentral lists this ribosomal RNA (450 nucleotides) under uncultured bacterium. RNAcentral's name for it is "partial 16S ribosomal RNA". It matches the Rfam family "Bacterial small subunit ribosomal RNA", at positions 354 to 796 of the family's 1533-position model. The record is from RNAcentral.
GUGGGGAAUCUUCCGCAAUGGACGAAAGUCUGACGGAGCAACGCCGCGUGAGUGAUGAAGGUCUUCGGAUUGUAAAGCUCUGUUAAUCGGGACGAAAGAGCCUAGUGUGAAUAAUGCUAGGAAGUGACGGUACCGGAAUAGAAAGCCACGGCUAACUACGUGCCAGCAGCCGCGGUAAUACGUAGGUGGCAAGCGUUGUCCGGAAUUAUUGGGCGUAAAGCGCGCGCAGGCGGAUCUGCCAGUCUGUCUUAAAAGUUCGGGGCUUAACCCCGUGAUGGGAUGGAAACUACAGAUCUAGAGUAUCGGAGAGGAAAGUGGAAUUCCUAGUGUAGCGGUGAAAUGCGUAGAUAUCGGGAGGAACGCCAGUGGCGAAGGCGACUUUCUGGACGAAAACUGACGCUGAGGCGCGAAAGCCAGGGGAGCGAACGGGAUUAGAUACCCGAGUAGUCC